UUGUUUAUCAAAAACAUGUCUUAUUGUUUAAUAAUUUUAGGUUUAUUCUGCUCAAUGAUUUAUUUAAAUAGCUGCAGUAUUUUGACUGUACAAAGGUAGCAUAAUCAUUUGUCUUUUAAUUGAGGGCUUGUAUGAAUGAUUGGACGAGAAAUUUACUUUCUUUAUUUUAAUUUAUGAAUUUGAUUUUUUAGUUAAAAUGCUAAGAUUUUGUUGUGGGACGAGAAGACCCUAUAGAAUUUUAUUAUUUUAUUAAUUAUUUAAUUUAUUUUAUUCAUUAUUUAAUUAUUUGGAAUAUUUUAAUUGGGGUGAUUAUGAAAUUUAAAAAACUUUUAUUUAUUAUUUUUUCAAUUAUUAUUGUUUUUUAUGAUCCUAUUUUAUGGAUUAGAAGAUUAAAUUACCUUAGGGAUAACAGCGUAAUUUUUUUGGAGAGUUCUUAUCGAUAAAAUAAGUUUGCGACCUCGAUGUUGGAUUAAAGUAAUUUUUGGUGUAGGUGCUAAAAUGUUUAAGUCUGUUCGACUUUUAAUUCUUUACAUGAUCUGAGUUCAAACCGGAGA
This 554-nucleotide ribosomal RNA is filed under the name Laryngodus sp. WCW-2003. RNAcentral's name for it is "partial 16S ribosomal RNA". The stretch from base 405 to 554 matches the Rfam family "Bacterial large subunit ribosomal RNA", at positions 2473 to 2622 of the family's 2925-position model. The record is from RNAcentral. Lineage: Eukaryota; Metazoa; Arthropoda; Insecta; Hemiptera; Rhyparochromidae.